GACGAACGCUGGCGGCGUGCUUAACACAUGCAAGUGGUGCGACGAACCAGGCUUCGGCCUGGGGCAGAGCCGCGAACGGGUGAGUAACACGUGGGCAACCUGCCCUGUUGAUCGGGACAACCCGGGGAAACCCGGGCUAAUACCGAAUGUGGUGCCGGCUCAUGAGAGCCGUCACGCAAGGAAGCUGCGGCCUCCGCGACAGGAUGGGCCCGCGGCCCAUUAGCUUGUUGGUGGGGUAAUGGCCUACCAAGGCAACGAUGGGUAGCUGGUCUGAGAGGACGAUCAGCCACACUGGGACUGAGACACGGCCCAGACUCCUACGGGAGGCUGCAGUGGGGAAUCUUGCGCAAUGAGCGACAGCUUGACGCAGCAACGCCGCGUGGGGGAAGAAGGCUUUCGGGUCGUAAACCCCUUUCAGUUAGGACGAAGCUUUAUUGGUUAAUAACCAAUUGGAGUGACGGUACUUUCAGAAGAAGCCCCGGCUAACUACGUGCCAGCAGCCGCGGUAA
This 509-nucleotide ribosomal RNA is filed under the name uncultured bacterium. Its description in RNAcentral is "partial 16S ribosomal RNA". It matches the Rfam family "Bacterial small subunit ribosomal RNA", at positions 28 to 523 of the family's 1533-position model. The record is from RNAcentral.